GCGGGGCACUGGAUGGCCGCGGGCCUUGGCCCGAGGAAAGUCCGGACUCCACAAAGCAAUGGUGCCAGGUAACGCCUGGGCGGGGUAACCCGACGGAAAGCGCAACAGAGAACAAACCGCCCGUGCAGGUCACGGGUAAGGGUGAAACGGUGGGGUAAGAGCCCACCGGAGGACUGGUAACAGGACUCGCAUGGCAAGCCCCACCAGGAGCAAUGCCGAAUAGGAACCUUGCGCGGGGCAUGAUCGGGCAACCGAUAUCGCCGCAGGGCAGCUUUGGCCCAAAGGUUCGGGUUGGCAGCUAGAGGCGCAGGGGCGACCUUGCGUUUAGAUGAAUGGUCAUCCAAGGGGGAAACCCCUGGACAAAAUCCGGCUUAUAGGUGCCCCGCGUGU
RNAcentral lists this RNase P RNA (390 nucleotides) under Paracoccaceae bacterium. RNAcentral's name for it is "Rhodobacteraceae bacterium RNase P RNA component class A". It matches the Rfam family "Bacterial RNase P class A". Rfam says of the family: Ribonuclease P (RNase P) is a ubiquitous endoribonuclease, found in archaea, bacteria and eukarya as well as chloroplasts and mitochondria. Its best characterised activity is the generation of mature 5'-ends of tRNAs by cleaving the 5'-leader elements of precursor-tRNAs. Lineage: Bacteria; Pseudomonadati; Pseudomonadota; Alphaproteobacteria; Rhodobacterales; Paracoccaceae. The record is from RNAcentral.